RNAcentral lists this ribosomal RNA (502 nucleotides) under uncultured bacterium. Its description in RNAcentral is "bacterial SSU rRNA". It matches the Rfam family "Bacterial small subunit ribosomal RNA", at positions 28 to 521 of the family's 1533-position model. The record is from RNAcentral.
GACGAACGCUGGCGGCGUGGAUUAGGCAUGCAAGUCGAACGGUAUCAUCCUUUCGGGGGUGAGAGAGUGGCGAACUGGUGAGUAACACGUAGGUUAUCUACCCUCAAGACGGGGACAACCCAGGGAAACUUGGGCUAAUACCGGAUGUGAGCAACUUUUAGUUGUUUGAAAGGUGGCGUAAGCUGUCGCUUGGGGAUGAGCCUGCGUCCUAUUAGUUAGUUGGUGAGGUAACGGCUCACCUAGGCAAUGAUAGGUAGGCGGCCUUAACGGGUGGUCGCCCACACUGGGAUUGAGAUACGGCCCAGACUCCUACGGGAGGCAGCAGUCGAGAAUAGUCUACAAUGGUCGGAAGACUGAUAGUGCGACGCCGCGUGAACGAUGAAUCCCUUCGGGGUGUAAAGUUCUUUUAUAUGUGAGCAGUGCUUCUUAAUAUUAACAGUAUGGGGAGAGAGAUAUUAGCAUAUGAAUAAGCAACGGCUAACUCCGUGCCAGCAGCCGCGGU